This 497-nucleotide ribosomal RNA is filed under the name uncultured bacterium. RNAcentral's name for it is "partial 16S ribosomal RNA". It matches the Rfam family "Bacterial small subunit ribosomal RNA", at positions 28 to 507 of the family's 1533-position model. The record is from RNAcentral.
GAUGAACGCUGGCGGCGUGCCUAAUACAUGCAAGUCGAGCGAACAGACGAGGAGCUUGCUCCUCUGACGUUAGCGGCGGACGGGUGAGUAACACGUGGAUAACCUACCUAUAAGACUGGGAUAACUUCGGGAAACCGGAGCUAAUACCGGAUAAUAUAUUGAACCGCAUGGUUCAAUAGUGAAAGACGGUUUUGCUGUCACUUAUAGAUGGAUCCGCGCCGCAUUAGCUAGUUGGUAAGGUAACGGCUUACCAAGGCAACGAUGCGUAGCCGACCUGAGAGGCUGAUCGGCCACACGGGAACUGAGACACGGUCCAGACUCCUACGGGAGGCAGCAGUAGGGAAUCUUCCGCAAUGGGCGAAAGCCUGACGGAGCAACGCCGCGUGAGUGAUGAAGGUCUUCGGAUCGUAAAACUCUGUUAUUAGGGAAGAACAAAUGUGUAAGUAACUAUGCACGUCUUGACGGUACCUAAUCAGAAAGCCACGGCUAACUACGUG